RNAcentral lists this ribosomal RNA (253 nucleotides) under uncultured bacterium. Its description in RNAcentral is "partial 16S ribosomal RNA". It matches the Rfam family "Bacterial small subunit ribosomal RNA", at positions 524 to 776 of the family's 1533-position model. The record is from RNAcentral.
UACGUAGGGUGCGAGCGUUGUCCGGAAUUAUUGGGCGUAAAGGGCUCGUAGGCGGUUUGUCGCGUCGGGAGUGAAAACACCGGGCUUAACUCGGUGCUUGCUUUCGAUACGGGCAGACUAGAGGUAUGCAGGGGAGAACGGAAUUCCUGGUGUAGCGGUGAAAUGCGCAGAUAUCAGGAGGAACACCGGUGGCGAAGGCGGAUCUCUGGGCCUUACCUGACGCUCAGGCGCGAAAGCUAGGGGAGCGAACAGG